This 255-nucleotide ribosomal RNA is filed under the name uncultured bacterium. RNAcentral's name for it is "partial 16S ribosomal RNA". It matches the Rfam family "Bacterial small subunit ribosomal RNA", at positions 524 to 776 of the family's 1533-position model. The record is from RNAcentral.
GACAGGAGGUCCCGAGCGUUAGGCGGAAUCACUGGGCUUAAAGCGUGUGUAGGCGGAUCGUUAAGUGCCUUGUGAAAUCCCACGGCUCAACCGUGGAACUGCUUGGCAUACUGGCGGUCUUGAGCAACCUAGGGGCAAGCGGAACAAAUGGUGGAGCGGUGAAAUGCGUAGAUAUCAUUUGGAACGCCAAUGGUGAAAACAGCUCGCUGGGGGUUUGCUGACGCUGAGACGACGAAAGCCAGGGGAGCAAACGGG